Molecule: ribosomal RNA, 483 nt
Filed under: uncultured bacterium
Lineage: Bacteria
Description: bacterial SSU rRNA
Rfam family: Bacterial small subunit ribosomal RNA
Source: RNAcentral
GAGUUUGAUCCUGGCUCAGAAUCAACGCUGGCGGCGUGCCUAACACAUGCAAGUCGAACGAGAAAGUGGAGCAAUCCAUGAGUAAAGUGGCGACCGGGUGAGUAACACGUGACUAACCUACCCUCGAGUGGGGAAUAACGCCGGGAAACCGGCGCUAAUACCGCAUAACAUCGCAAGAUCAAAGCAGCAAUGCGCUUGAGGAGGGGGUCGCGGCCGAUUAGUUAGUUGGUAGGGUAAUGGCCUACCAAGACGAAGAUCGGUAGCCGGCCUGAGAGGGCGCACGGCCACACUGGAACUGAAACACGGUCCAGACUCCUACGGGAGGCAGCAGUGGGGAAUUUUGCGCAAUGGGGGAAACCCUGACGCAGCAACGCCGCGUGGAGGAUGAAGUCCCUUGGGACGUAAACUCCUUUCGACCGGGACGAUAAUGACGGUACCGGUGGAAGAAGCCCCGGCUAACUUCGUGCCAGCCGCCGCGGUAAU